UACGUAGGGGGCAAGCGUUGUCCGGAUUUACUGGGCGUAAAGAGCGUGUAGGCGGCCAAACAGGUCCGUUGUGAAAACUGGAGGCUCAACCUCCAGACGUCGACGGAAACCGUGUGGCUAGAGUCCGGAAGAGGAGAGUGGAAUUCUUGGUGUAGCGGUGAAAUGCGCAGAUAUCAGGAAGAACACCGAUGGCGAAGGCAGCUCUCUGGGACGGUACUGACGCUGAGACGCGAAAGCGUGGGGAGCGAACAGG
This 253-nucleotide ribosomal RNA is filed under the name uncultured bacterium. RNAcentral describes it as "partial 16S ribosomal RNA". It matches the Rfam family "Bacterial small subunit ribosomal RNA", at positions 524 to 776 of the family's 1533-position model. The record is from RNAcentral.